UCCGGCCGCAGCCGGCGUGGGGGAGCGGGGCGCCGCUGGAUCCGGUGGUGGCGCGCAGUGUCCGGCGGUUCCAGCACCCGCCGGACGAAGC
Molecule: transfer RNA, 91 nt
Filed under: Amycolatopsis sp. M39
Lineage: Bacteria; Bacillati; Actinomycetota; Actinomycetes; Pseudonocardiales; Pseudonocardiaceae
Description: tRNA-Ser
Source: RNAcentral